GGGACUGUGGCUUAGUGGUAGAGUGCUUGCCUAGCAUGCAGGAAGCACUGGGUUCAAUUCCUCAGUACCA
RNAcentral lists this transfer RNA (70 nucleotides) under Dipodomys ordii (Ord's kangaroo rat). It matches the Rfam family "tRNA". From Rfam's summary of the family: Transfer RNA (tRNA) molecules are approximately 80 nucleotides in length. Their secondary structure includes four short double-helical elements and three loops (D, anti-codon, and T loops). Lineage: Eukaryota; Metazoa; Chordata; Mammalia; Rodentia; Heteromyidae. The record is from Rfam by way of RNAcentral.